This 253-nucleotide ribosomal RNA is filed under the name uncultured bacterium. RNAcentral describes it as "partial 16S ribosomal RNA". It matches the Rfam family "Bacterial small subunit ribosomal RNA", at positions 524 to 776 of the family's 1533-position model. The record is from RNAcentral.
UACGGAAGGGGCAAGCGUUGUUCGGAAUCAUUGGGCGUAAAGGGCGUGUAGGUGGUUCUGUAUGUCUACCGUGAAAGCGUACGGCUCAACCGUAUUUAGUCGGUAGAAACUGCAGGACUUGAGGCUGGGAGGAGCUGGUGGAAUUCCCCGUGUAGCGGUGAAAUGCGUAGAGAUGGGGGAGAACACUCGUGGCGAAGGCGGCCAGCUAGACCAGUUCUGACACUGAGGCGCGAUAGCGUGGGGAGCAAACAGG